Molecule: ribosomal RNA, 500 nt
Filed under: uncultured bacterium
Lineage: Bacteria
Description: partial 16S ribosomal RNA
Rfam family: Bacterial small subunit ribosomal RNA
Source: RNAcentral
AUUGAACGCUGGCGGCAUGCUUUACACAUGCAAGUCGAACGGAUUUUGGAGCUUGCUCCAGAGUUAGUGGCGAACGGGUGAGUAAUAUAUCGGAACGUACCCGGCAAUGGGGGAUAACGUAGCGAAAGUUACGCUAAUACCGCAUAUGCCCUGAGGGGGAAAGCAGGGGACCAGUAAUGGCCUUGCGUUGUCGGAGCGGCCGAUAUCGGAUUAGCUAGUUGGUGAGGUAAAGGCUCACCAAGGCGACGAUCCGUAGCGGGUCUGAGAGGAUGGUCCGCCACCCUGGGGCUGAGACACGGCCCAGAAUCCUACGGGAGGCAGCAGUGGGGAAUUUUGGACAAUGGGCGAAAGCCUGAUCCAGCCAUGCCGCGUGAGUGAAGAAGGCCUUCGGGUUGUAAAGCUCUUUCAGGUGGAAAGAAAAGGUUACGGAUAAUACCUGUAACUGAUGACGGUACCAUCAGAAGAAGCACCGGCUAACUACGUGCCAGCAGCCGCCGUAA